Molecule: long non-coding RNA, 815 nt
Filed under: Cyanistes caeruleus (blue tit)
Lineage: Eukaryota; Metazoa; Chordata; Aves; Passeriformes; Paridae
Description: lncRNA (ENSCCEG00000017402.1)
Source: RNAcentral
AGAGAGCAAGACAGCUGAACCAGGCUGUGACUGUUGGCUGUCCACCUUCUCCACAUAAUAUUUUCAAGUUUGUUUAUAUAUUGAACUUAAACCCAAAAAAGGGAACUUCUGCUUGCAAAUGUAACUACUCAGGAUGUGACUGUAGUUUCUCAAUAAUCAUGUGACCUAUUUUAGCUUUUUUUUUUUUCAGACACUGCAGAAAAGCAAAAUUCAUGAAAACUUGGGUGAAACCACCCUGUUGUCACAACUUCAUAAUGACCUUACUAACCAGCUGGAUACCAGCCCCAACAGCAUUUCUUCUCUUAUAUUUUUGGAGAGCAAAGGUAUAUGCUUCUGGAAACCCAGAGGAGGAAAUAGAUUACACAUAUGUUAUUAUAGGAGCUACUCUGGGAGCAGUUCUAGCAAUCGGUUUUGUAGCAGUAAUAAUCUGCAUGAUCAAAUCCAAAAUGAUGGACAGUGUCUUUGGAGAGUCAGAUGGCAAAAUGGAUAGAAGGUCAAACACAGGUUCAAGCCAAAACAGAUGACAGCAAUGCAAUAAGAAAUCAAAGUAUAAAGAUCAAUAACCCUUUUGCAUCAACAGUUACCUGGUCUGAGGAUCAAUAGAAGUCUCUUGUGCAUAGGCAGGAAUCUUACCAAUACCAAUCCUUUUCUUUGUUCUUUAGUUGAAAGGCUGAUUGAUUAUUUACAGGAAGAGCUUACAGUGCAGCUAACUUCAAUCACCUGCACCCAAAAGGCCUGCAAUCCCCCUCAGCAUGUACAUGAAGGAAAUGUAUGAGGAAAAUAAAAUACAUGGUUCACUAAUAGAUCCUCUUUAU